RNAcentral lists this long non-coding RNA (1134 nucleotides) under Pongo abelii (Sumatran orangutan). RNAcentral describes it as "lincRNA". The record is from RNAcentral. Lineage: Eukaryota; Metazoa; Chordata; Mammalia; Primates; Hominidae.
AGCUUCUACUCAAGAUUUGAAGGGCAGCUGUCCUCAGGAGACCCCUGGCACUUCCCUCCCUGGUGGGAUAUGAUGCCUGAUUCCAGUGAGUUCAUAGAGCUGAACAAAAGGAGGCAGCAGAUGGCUGAAAUUCUGAUCCGAUGUGGCUGGUUAAUGCACGAUCUGAAAACCCCUGCACUGGUGAUUUUGGGACAGAUCUAGAAUAUACCAAUAAAUAUAUUAACAUACCAAGUAGUCUAGGAGCAGCCACUGGGCAAACACCAAACCUUGCAUCCCUGGUGCUGUCUCUGAGCUCAGCAGACACGUCUUUGUAGAAGAGUUCUAUAAUGGUGGUUCAAUGGCGCCCCCUCGUGACAGAAGCUUGAACUACAGCUUGAACAUCGAGAUGAAAAUAUACUGUCUACAUUGUUCAACACAAUAGCUAAUGGCAACUGUGGCAGUUGAACACCCGAAACUUGAUGAAUGUGACUGAGGAACUGAACUUUUAGUUUCAUUGUGACAUGGUGAAUGAAUUUAGUGAGCCCCAGGAAGAAGGAAGAUUAAAGAAGAGCAAAGAAUAAUAGCUGGACAGAAGAUGGGGGUCAUUGAACCUAUAUCCUAGUUGCCUGACCAGUAAACUGACCACGGGUCCUGGGGGAGGCAGCAGAUGACCGAAAACCUGGAGUGAUGUGGCUGAAUACCGCAUGAUCCGAAGACUGCACUGGUGGCUGCGGUAUGGGUCCAAAUUUUUCCUUAACAAAAACAAAAAAAGAGCCCAAAACCAUACUGACCAGUCCAGGAACAGCCAUUAGGCAAACACAACUUUUUGCUACCCUGGUGUUACCGAUUUCUGAGCUCAACAGGUGAAUUCAAAGAUAUGCGUGUCUUUCCAGCAUGGGCAGCUGGAUUUGGGUCAGCUCAGGGGCAUGAUGUUGAACAGCUCUUAUGAGCUUCUGAUAGUGCCCAGAAGUACAGAAACAACUGUCUACAAAUCUUUGAACUCAAGGCAUAUCACAGGGACCUUUGCUUUCUUCAACUAGAUAUCUGUUUUCUCAUAAAGAGAAACAAUGAGAAAUGGUUUUUCACAAUGCCUCGUUAACCCUGAGGCUCAGCCAUCCCCUAGUGCUGUGUCCCAACAUUUAAAGUUCAUUGAAG